This 868-nucleotide ribosomal RNA is filed under the name uncultured bacterium. RNAcentral's name for it is "bacterial SSU rRNA". It matches the Rfam family "Bacterial small subunit ribosomal RNA", at positions 8 to 888 of the family's 1533-position model. The record is from RNAcentral.
AGAGUUUGAUCAUGGCUCAGGACGAACGCUGGCGGCGCGCCUAACACAUGCAAGUCGAACGGGGUUGAGAGGAGCUUGCUUUUCUUGACUUAGUGGCGAACGGGUGAGUAACGCGUGAGGAACCUGCCUCAAAGAGGGGGACAACAGUUGGAAACGACUGCUAAUACCGCAUAAGCCCACGGUCCCGCAUGGGAGAGAGGGAAAAGGAGCAAUCCGCUUUGAGAUGGCCUCGCGUCCGAUUAGCUGGUUGGUGAGGUAACGGCCCACCAAGGCGACGAUCGGUAGCCGGACUGAGAGGUUGAACGGCCACAUUGGGACUGAGACACGGCCCAGACUCCUACGGGAGGCAGCAGUGGGGAAUAUUGCACAAUGGGGGAAACCCUGAUGCAGCGACGCCGCGUGGAGGAAGAAGGUCUUCGGAUUGUAAACUCCUGUUGUUGGGGAGAAAAGAAUGACUGUACCAGAGGAAGAAGCACCGGCUAACUACGUGCCAGCAGCCGCGGUAAUACGUAGGGUGCAAGCGUUAUCCGGAUUUACUGGGUGUAAAGGGCGAGUAGACGGCAUUGCAAGUCAGAUGUGAAAACCUAUGGCUCAACCAUAGGACUGCAUCUGAAACUGUAGAGCUAGAGUGCAGGAGAGGUAAGCGGAAUUCCUAGUGUAGCGGUGAAAUGCGUAGAUAUUAGGAGGAACACCAGUGGCGAAGGCGGCUUACUGGACUGUAACUGACGUUGAGGCGCGAAAGUGUGGGGAGCAAACAGGAUUAGAUACCCUGGUAGUCCACACUGUAAACGAUGGAUACUAGGUGUAGGCAUGAAUGUGUCUGUGCCGGCGCAAACGCAAUAAGUAUCCCACCUGGGGAGUACGGCCG